CCUACGGGGGGCAGCAGUGGGGAAUAUUGCGCAAUGGGCGAAAGCCUGACGCAGCGACGCCGCGUGAGGGAUGAAGGUCUUCGGAUCGUAAACCUCUGUCAGCAGGGAAGAACGGUCACUGUGCUAAUCAGCAGUGAAUUGACGGUACCUGCAAAGGAAGCACCGGCUAACUCCGUGCCAGCAGCCGCGGUAAUACGGAGGGUGCGAGCGUUAAUCGGAAUUACUGGGCGUAAAGCGUUCGUAGGCGGUAUGUCAAGUCAAGGGGGAAAUCCCCGCGCUCAACGUGGGAAGUGCCUUUGAAACUGGCAAACUGGAGUGUGUGAGAGGAUAGUGGAAUUCCAGGUGUAGGAGUGAAAUCCGUAGAUAUCUGGAGGAACAUCAGUGGCGAAGGCGACUAUCUGGCACAUAACUGACGCUGAGGAGCGAAAGCGUGGGUAGCAAACAGGAUUAGAUACCCUGGUAGUC
This 465-nucleotide ribosomal RNA is filed under the name uncultured bacterium. RNAcentral describes it as "partial 16S ribosomal RNA". It matches the Rfam family "Bacterial small subunit ribosomal RNA", at positions 338 to 795 of the family's 1533-position model. The record is from RNAcentral.